GCUCAGUUGGUUAGAGCACACCCCUGAUAAGGGUGAGGUCGCUGGUUCAAGUCCAGCAAGGGGAACCA
This 68-nucleotide transfer RNA is filed under the name Vibrio parahaemolyticus. RNAcentral's name for it is "tRNA-Ile". It matches the Rfam family "tRNA", at positions 10 to 71 of the family's 71-position model. From Rfam's summary of the family: Transfer RNA (tRNA) molecules are approximately 80 nucleotides in length. Their secondary structure includes four short double-helical elements and three loops (D, anti-codon, and T loops). Further hydrogen bonds mediate the characteristic L-shaped molecular structure. tRNAs have two regions of fundamental functional importance: the anti-codon, which is responsible for specific mRNA codon recognition, and the 3' end, to which the tRNAs corresponding amino acid is attached (by aminoacyl-tRNA synthetases). tRNAs cope with the degeneracy of the genetic code in two manners: having more than one tRNA (with a specific anti-codon) for a particular amino acid; and 'wobble' base-pairing, i.e. permitting non-standard base-pairing at the 3rd anti-codon position. Lineage: Bacteria; Pseudomonadati; Pseudomonadota; Gammaproteobacteria; Vibrionales; Vibrionaceae. The record is from RNAcentral.